Molecule: transfer RNA, 75 nt
Filed under: Helicobacter pylori
Lineage: Bacteria; Pseudomonadati; Campylobacterota; Epsilonproteobacteria; Campylobacterales; Helicobacteraceae
Also listed under: 33 other names
Description: tRNA-Asn
Rfam family: tRNA
About the family: Transfer RNA (tRNA) molecules are approximately 80 nucleotides in length.
Source: RNAcentral
UCCUCGGUAGCUCAGUGGUAGAGCAACCGGCUGUUAACCGGUUGGUCGCUGGUUCGAAUCCGGCCCGGGGAGCCA